RNAcentral lists this long non-coding RNA (269 nucleotides) under Musa acuminata (dwarf banana). RNAcentral describes it as "long non-coding RNA (MACU_LNC008924)". Lineage: Eukaryota; Viridiplantae; Streptophyta; Magnoliopsida; Zingiberales; Musaceae. The record is from RNAcentral.
GGACGGAAAAAUCUUACUGCAUGCAGUCUCGUCUCACAAUGACAGGUUAAAGGCCAAGUGUAAUUAAUGUAAUCUCUUCCGCCUGCUCUCUCUUAGAAGAAGACAUUUUGUGUUUCUUAUUCUUGCCUGUGGCACUCGCUGGCACUCGCUGGCACUUCGCUGGAAGUCAUAUGUAAUUUGUUGUUUGUGCACCAUACGGGAUGCCAUGAGCAUGCCUACUUAUGAAGGAAUCUAGUCAUAUAUAAUUACUUAUUUUUCUCCAAUCAUUU